This is a long non-coding RNA of Manacus vitellinus (golden-collared manakin), 1225 nucleotides long. RefSeq lists it as uncharacterized. The record is from RefSeq and is a predicted model, not a curated record. NCBI's taxonomy places the organism in Eukaryota, Metazoa, Chordata, Aves, Passeriformes, Pipridae. The transcript has 8 exons.
CAGAGGAUGAAGAGGAACUGUAUUUAAUGCUACUUAAGUUAGUCUGAUUUGGAUUCUUGCUACCAAAAUAUGAGGAAAGGGUUUAGCAGGAUAUAAGUUCAGUCUAUAGGUGUUUGAAGGGUGUUCACAGGAUUUGGCCUGAGACAUGGGGAGCACCCAGAGGACUGGAGUACAGCGUGCUGAGGAAACACUUCCAUAGGAGGAGCAAAGCCUGUGUGAAAUGUGCCUUCAGCUGGACAUGGAAACUGCUGAGCUGUUUCUGAGCCAAUACAGAAUACUAAGAAGAGGUGCAAGUUUGGGCUACUGGGAGGUUCCAGUAUCUGCUAGGAAUUAUGGCCCUGAACCAGGCCUUUAUGAUUGGAUGUGAUGUUAGCUAUGGAACACACAGCCUCCUGCUGCAAGUCUUAUUCAACAGUUCAGAUGGGAUUUGUGUUGUGUAACUUGAGCCACAGAUUAUUUGAAGUGGUUUGAUACAAUUUUCAAAGGCGCAUCAAGCACAGCCAAAAGACAAUGCAAGAAUUGGCAUUUGCUGACUGACUCCGUUUUCUUCUCCAUCUGGUAAAGACAAGGGGAAGACAGAGACUUAAGUCCCAAAAUGGAAAAGGAGAAUUGCUCAAGCUGAAGAAAUAUUAAAGAAGAAGAAACCCAUCAGUUUAGUCAAUGCACGAAAUGCAAUGUGAAAUGAAGCUAUUAAUGCUGUAAUGAAGAACCUGUUCCAGAAUAAUCCUUAUUUCCAUUGUUUAUGGUACAGUUAUGCCUAUUUCUCUGAAGCUUUUCCCCCUGUCUGAAGAGGAUUCACCUGGCUGGCAGCCAUAUGGAGUCACAGCACAGUGGGAUUGUACUGCUCAUAUUUAUCUGGAAUUGUUCUCUAAGAGCAGUGAAGUUCACCAGGAACAGAAGUUAAAGGCAAAUUUCUCACACAUAUCCUAAUGACUAUGUCCCACUCACACUCCCUGGAGAAGAAACAAUAAAGGAGCACUAAAGCUUCCCCAUUCCUUUGGAAAGGGCACUGGAGUCCGAGGUCUUCUCUGGUACUUUUUAAGCAUUAUUACCUCAGACUAGGAGCUCGUUACACUGAAACAAAAGUUAACAAAAAUCCCCCCUCUUCCCAUGAUCUGUAUUCUCUUUCCCCUCUCUUUUAUCACCCACUUCUCUCUCUAAAGAACUAGUUUUGAAAUUCUUCUCUGGAAGUUAUUAAACAGGUGCUGUUUUUGACACCACUCAC